Molecule: ribosomal RNA, 109 nt
Filed under: Colobus angolensis palliatus
Lineage: Eukaryota; Metazoa; Chordata; Mammalia; Primates; Cercopithecidae
Source: RNAcentral
UUCUACCACCAUACCACCCUGAACAUACCUGAUCUCAGAAGCUAAGCAGGGUAGAGCCUGGUUAGUAUUUGAAUGGGAGACCCUCUGGGAAUACCAGGUGCUGUAGGCU